This 2019-nucleotide unclassified non-coding RNA is filed under the name Onthophagus taurus. RNAcentral describes it as "annexin B11-like, transcript variant X3". Lineage: Eukaryota; Metazoa; Arthropoda; Insecta; Coleoptera; Scarabaeidae. The record is from RNAcentral.
AGCGAGUAGUGGGAGUUGCAAAAGUGGCACGAUCCCGUUCGGGUCGUAAUCUUAUCAUUCUAGUUUGAGUGGUUAUUUUAAUUUUCUCUAUUAUAAUCUUUUAUUUACCAACAAUCCGAUAGAAAAAUGAGUUAUCCACCGUACCAUCAUGGUCCUGGUUAUCCUCAAUAUCCUGGUGGAACUCCAUAUCCUCAUAAUCCUCCUGGUGGUUAUCCUCCUAGCGGACCAAGAGGGGUUUUUCCUCCAAGUUUAGGCUUCAGACAUGAUGCUCCUAUUUAUAUGCCACGUCCAAAUUAUCCUAAUCCCCCACCUCCAAGUGGGAAUGAUACAUAUUACUCUUCAGGAGUACCUCCAGUAACUACUAGACCUGCUCCAGUACCACCUAUAUCAUCAUCACCUUAUCCAAGUACAUCUCCUUAUCCAAAUACAUCUCCUUAUCCAAAUACAUCUCCUUAUACACAUACAUCUCCUUAUCCAAAUACAUCGCCUUAUCCAAAUUCACCUUCUUAUCCAGGAAUGUCUGGAGCAUCCUCAGCUCCUUAUCCCACAAAUACAACUCAUCACUCAACUCCAUAUCCAAACAAUUCUUUUCCAAUGCCUUCAAAUCCCAAUACACAAUAUCCUUCGCAUCAUCAAGGACAUUUGCGUCCUGGCUCAAGCAUGUAUCCUUCAGCACCAUCAUCUGGAGGUAAUCCCGCUUAUGGGAAUUCAAAUAAUAUGGUCCAUAUGAUGAGAAAGGGAACCCCAACCGUAGUACCUGCACAUCCAUUCGACCCCAAAUCAGAUGCGGAAGUUUUACGAAAAGCUAUGAAAGGUUUCGGAACUGAUGAGAAAAGUAUCAUAAACUGCUUAGCAAGACGAAGUAAUCAACAAAGGCUACAAAUCGCAAUCGAAUUCAAAACUAUGUACGGAAAAGAUUUGGUUAAAGAUCUCAAAAGUGAAACUAGCGGGAGAUUUGAAGAUUUACUAGUAGCUUUAAUGACACCUCUACCUCAAUUUUAUGCUAAAGAAUUAAAUGACGCCAUUAGAGGCUUAGGAACGGAUGAAGAUGUAUUAAUUGAAGUGUUGGGUACAAAGAGUAAUAAUGAAAUUCGCACGAUCCGUCAAGCUUAUACAUCAAUGUAUGGAAGAAAUUUAGAAGAAGAUUUAAAAGGGGACACAUCGGGAACAUUCAAACGACUCAUGGUGUCCUUAUGUAACGCUUGUAGGGACGAGUCAAUGGUGACUAACCAAGCAAACGCAGCUGCAGAUGCCCGAGAAUUACUCAAAGCUGGCGAAUUGAGACUAGGAACUGACGAAUCGACCUUCAACAUGGUGCUUUGCCAGAGGAACUUCGCCCAAUUACGCCUCAUUUUCGAGGAGUAUUAUAAAAUCACCGGUCACGAUAUUGAACAGGCGGUUAAGAAUGAAUUUUCCGGUAAUUCGAGAGACUGCUUGCUAGCCAUUAUUCGAUCAAUUAGAAAUCAACCUGGAUUCUUUGCGAAGUGUUUACAUAACGCAAUUGCUGGCUUGGGUACGAACGAUAAGAAAUUGAUAAGAGUUGUGGUUACCCGUUGCGAAGUUGAUAUGGGCGAAAUCAAACAGAAUUAUUUAGCGCAAUAUGGAAAAACACUCGCGGAUGAUAUUAAGGGCGAUACAUCUGGAGAUUACAAAAAGUGUUUGUUGGCGUUAAUUGGAGAAUAAUCAAUGAUAUUUUAACGAUAUAUAUUCCGUAUAAUGUGCUCGUUUACACACAUUCUCUGACAAUAUUGUACAAAAUGUUUUUUUAUAAAUCUAUAUAUAAUCAUAAUCGCUUUUAACUCCAAUAUUUUUUAUAAUAUCUAUUUGAUAUAAACGUUUUGCUUAAUAUGAUUCUUUAAGAUCGUUCAAUUUUACAAUGUAAUUUAAGCAGACUGAAUAUAUUUUAUUGUUAAUUUACAAUUACACAACAAUCGAAGCUAUUUUAACUGUAAGAGUCUAAAUUUGUUAUUUUUAAGUGUUAUGUAAAAUUUUAUUAUAUAAUAAUCUAUGUGCUAAAGA